RNAcentral lists this small nucleolar RNA (92 nucleotides) under Jaculus jaculus (lesser Egyptian jerboa). Its description in RNAcentral is "Small nucleolar RNA SNORA46 (ENSJJAG00000006133.1)". The record is from RNAcentral. Lineage: Eukaryota; Metazoa; Chordata; Mammalia; Rodentia; Dipodidae.
AAUACUGUAGUGCAAAAGAAUUCCUGGCUCUUUGAGGUUGUAAAGCUUACUUGUGCCAUUUUACUUUUCCUUUAAAGAGUUAAGGACCAUGG